UGGGGAAUAUUGCACAAUGGGGGAAACCCUGAUGCAGCGACGCCGCGUGAAGGAAGAAGUAUCUCGGUAUGUAAACUUCUAUCAGCAGGGAAGAUAGUGACGGUACCUGACUAAGAAGCCCCGGCUAACUAUGUGCCAGCAGCCGCGGUAAAACGUAGGUCACAAGCGUUGUCCGGAAUUACUGGGUGUAAAGGGAGCGCAGGCGGGAAGACAAGUUGGAAGUGAAAUCCAUGGGCUCAACCCAUGAACUGCUUUCAAAACUGUUUUUCUUGAGUAGUGCAGAGGUAGGCGGAAUUCCCGGUGUAGCGGUGGAAUGCGUAGAUAUCGGGAGGAACACCAGUGGCGAAGGCGGCCUACUGGGCACCAACUGACGCUGAGGCUCGAAAGUGUGGGUAGCAAACAGGAUUAGAUACCCUGGUAGUCCACACUGUAAACGAUGAUUACUAGGUGUUGGAGGAUUGACCCCUUCAGUGCCGCAGUUAACACAAUAAGUAAUCCACCUGGGGAGUACGACCGCAAGGUUGAAACUCAAAGGAAUUGACGGGGGCCCGCACAAGCAGUGGAGUAUGUGGUUUAAUUCGACGCAACGCGAAGAACCUUACCAAGUCUUGACAUCCCUUGACGAUGCUGGAAACAGUAUUUCUCUUCGGAGCAAGGAGACAGGUGGUGCAUGGUUGUCGUCAGCUCGUGUCGUGAGAUGUUGGGUUAAGUCCCGCAACGAGCGCAACCCUUAUGGUCAGUUACUACGCAAGAGGACUCUGGCCAGACUGCCGUUGACAAAACGGAGGAAGGUGGGGAUGACGUCAAAUCAUCAUGCCCUUUAUGACUUGGGCUACACACGUACUACAAUGGCGUUAAACAAAGAGAAGCAAGACCGCGAGGUGGAGCAAAACUCAGAAACAACGUCCCAGUUCGGACUGCAGGCUGCAACUCGCCUGCACGAAGUCGGAAUUGCUAGUAAUCGCAGAUCAGCAUGCUGCGGUGAAUACGUUCCC
Molecule: ribosomal RNA, 995 nt
Filed under: uncultured bacterium
Lineage: Bacteria
Description: bacterial SSU rRNA
Rfam family: Bacterial small subunit ribosomal RNA
Source: RNAcentral